GACGAACGCUGGCGGCGUGCUUAACACAUGCAAGUCGAACGGAAAGGCCCUGCUUUUGUGGGGUGCUCGAGUGGCGAACGGGUGAGUAACACGUGAGUAACCUGCCCUUGACUUUGGGAUAACUUCAGGAAACUGGGGCUAAUACCGGAUAGGAGCUCCUGCUGCAUGGUGGGGGUUGGAAAGUUUCGGCGGUUGGGGAUGGACUCGCGGCUUAUCAGCUUGUUGGUGGGGUAGUGGCUUACCAAGGCUUUGACGGGUAGCCGGCAUGAGAGGGUGACCGGCCACAUUGGGACUGAGAUACGGCCCAGACUCCUACGGGAGGCAGCAGGGGGGAAUAUUGCACAGUGGGCGGAAGCCUGAUGCAGCAACGCCGCGUGCGGGAUGACGGCCUGCGGGUUGUAAACCGCUUUCGCUUGUGACGAAGCGGUAGUGACGGUAAUGGGUAAAGAAGCACCGGCUAACUACGUG
RNAcentral lists this ribosomal RNA (468 nucleotides) under uncultured bacterium. Its description in RNAcentral is "partial 16S ribosomal RNA". It matches the Rfam family "Bacterial small subunit ribosomal RNA", at positions 28 to 507 of the family's 1533-position model. The record is from RNAcentral.